AGAGUUUGAUCCUGGCUCAGGAUGAACGCUAGCUACAGGCUUAACACAUGCAAGUCGAGGGGCAGCAUUAUCAAAGCUUGCUUUGAAAGAUGGCGACCGGCGCACGGGUGAGUAACGCGUAUCCAACCUACCCUCCAGCAGGGGGUAGCCCGUAGAAAUGCGGAUUAAUACCCUAUGCGGUCGUUUUGUGGCAUCAUGUUACGACCAAAGACUCGUCGCUGGCGGAUGGGGAUGCGUAUGAUUAGGUAGUAGGCGGGGUAACGGCCCACCUAGCCGUCGAUCAUUAGGGGUUCUGAGAGGAAGGUCCCCCACACUGGUACUGAGACACGGACCAGACUCCUACGGGAGGCAGCAGUGAGGAAUAUUGGUCAAUGGGCGGAAGCCUGAACCAGCCAAGUAGCGUGCAGGAUGACGGCCCUACGGGUUGUAAACUGCUUUUAUGCGGGGAUAAACGACGGCACGCGUGCCGUUUUGCAGGUACCGCAUGAAUAAGGACCGGCUAAUUCCGUGCCAGCAGCCGCGGUAAUACGGAAGGUCCGGGCGUUAUCCGGAUUUAUUGGGUUUAAAGGGAGCGUAGGCCGGAUGCUAAGCGUGCCGUGAAAUGCAUGUGCUCAACAUAUGCACUGCGGCGCGAACUGGUGUUCUUGAGUGCGCUGAAAGUGGGCGGAAUUCGUGGUGUAGCGGUGAAAUGCUUAGAUAUCACGAGGAACUCCGAUUGCGAAGGCAGCUCGCUGUAGCGUAACUGACGCUGAUGCUCGAAAGCGCGGGUAUCGAACAGGAUUAGAUACCCUGGUAGUCCGCGCGGUAAACGAUGGAUGCCCGCUGUUUGCCAUUAUGGUAAGCGGCCAAGCGAAAGCGUUAAGCAUCCCACCUGGGGAGUACGCCGGCAACGGUGAAACUCAAAGGAAUUGACGGGGGCCCGCACAAGCGGAGGAACAUGUGGUUUAAUUCGAUGAUACGCGAGGAACCUUAUCCGGGCUUGAACUGCAGGAGAACGAUUCAGAGAUGAUGAGGUCCUUCGGGACUCCUGUGGAGGUGCUGCAUGGUUGUCGUCAGCUCGUGCCGUGAGGUGUCGGCUUAAGUGCCAUAACGAGCGCAACCCUUGCGCGUAGUUGCCAUCAGGUUAUGCUGGGCACUCUGCGCGGACUGCCACCGCAAGGUGUGAGGAAGGUGGGGAUGACGUCAAAUCAGCACGGCCCUUACGUCCGGGGCUACACACGUGUUACAAUGGGUGGUACAGAGAGCCGGCCGCAUGCAAAUGCGGUCCAAUCCUUAAAGCCGUCCUCAGUUCGGAUUGGGGUCUGCAACCCGACCCCAUGAAGCUGGAUUCGCUAGUAAUUGCGCAUCAGCCAUGGCGCGGUGAAUACGUUCCCGGGCCUUGCACACACCGCCCGUCAAG
RNAcentral lists this ribosomal RNA (1399 nucleotides) under uncultured bacterium. RNAcentral's name for it is "bacterial SSU rRNA". It matches the Rfam family "Bacterial small subunit ribosomal RNA". The record is from RNAcentral.